Molecule: ribosomal RNA, 375 nt
Filed under: uncultured organism
Description: partial 16S ribosomal RNA
Rfam family: Bacterial small subunit ribosomal RNA
Source: RNAcentral
GUAGGUGGCAAGCGUUGUCCGGAAUUAUUGGGGCGUAAAGCGCGCGCAGGCGGUUUUUUAAGUCUGAUGUGAAAGCCCACGGCUCAACCGUGGGAGGGGUCAUUGGAAACUGGAGAACUUGAGUGCAGAAGAGGAGAGUGGAAUUCCACGUGUAGCGGUGAAAUGCGUAGAGAUGUGGAGGAACACCAGUGGCGAAGGCGACUCUCUGGUCUGUAACUGACGCUGAGGCGCGAAAGCGUGGGGAGCAAACAGGAUUAGAUACCCUGGUAGUCCACGCCGUAAACGAUGAGUGCUAAGUGUUAGAGGGUUUCCGCCCUUUAGUGCUGCAGCAAACGCAUUAAGCACUCCGCCUGGGGAGUACGGUCGCAAAGACUG